AACGCACAUUGCGCCCGCCAGUAUUCUGGCGGGCAUGCCUGUUCGAGCGUCAUUUCAACCCUCAAGCCCCCGGGCUUGGUGUUGGGGAUCGGCCGCCCUCCGGCGCGCCGGCCCCGAAAUCUAGUGGCGGUCUCGCUGUAGCCUCCUCUGCGUAGUAACACACCUCGCACCGGAACGCAGCCUGGCCACGCCGUUAAACCCCCCACUUCUGAAGGUUGACCUCGGAUCAGGUAGGAAUACCCGCUGAACUUAA
RNAcentral lists this unclassified non-coding RNA (253 nucleotides) under uncultured Cosmospora. Its description in RNAcentral is "sequence contains ITS2". The stretch from base 1 to 52 matches the Rfam family "5.8S ribosomal RNA", at positions 103 to 154 of the family's 154-position model. Lineage: Eukaryota; Fungi; Ascomycota; Sordariomycetes; Hypocreales; Nectriaceae. The record is from RNAcentral.